This 895-nucleotide ribosomal RNA is filed under the name uncultured archaeon. Its description in RNAcentral is "bacterial SSU rRNA". It matches the Rfam family "Archaeal small subunit ribosomal RNA", at positions 21 to 904 of the family's 1478-position model. The record is from RNAcentral.
CCUGACUGCUAUUUGGGUGAGGAUAAGCCAUGCGAGUUGAAUGGGAUACCUAAAGUUCCCAUAGCAAACUGCUCAGUAACACAUGAUCAACUUACCCUAUAGAGAAAAAUAACCUCGGGAAACUGAGGAUAAUGUUUCAUAACUGAAUCGGCUUGGAAAAGUUUUUCAGUGAAAGGGAUAAAAUAAAUGGUUUUUAUCUGCUAUAGGAUAGGAUCGUGGUCGAUUAUGGUUGUUGGUGAGGUAACGGCUCACCAAGCCGAUAAUCGAUAGGGGCCGUGAGAGCGGGAGCCCCGAGAUGGGUACUGAGACAACGACCCAGGCCUUACGAGGCGCAGCAGGCGCGAGACCUCCGCAAUACACGAAAGUGUGACGGGGUUACCCAAAGUGUUCAUUUAUGAACUGUGGUAGGUGAGUAAUAUCCCCUACUAGAAAGGAGAGGGCAAGGCUGGUGCCAGCCGCCGCGGUAAAACCAGCUCUUCAAGUGGUCGGGAUAAUAUUGGGCUUAAGUGUCCGUAGCCGGUUUAGUAAGUUCCUGGUAAAAUCGGGUAGCUUAACUGUCCGCAUGCUAGGAAUACUGCUAUACUAGAGGGCGGGAGAGGUCUGAGGUACUACAGGGGUAGGGGUGAAAUCUUAUAAUCCUUGUAGGACCACCAGUGGCGAAGGCGUCAGACUGGAACGCGCCUGACGGUGAGGGACGAAAGCCAGGGGAGCGAACCGGAUUAGAUACCCGGGUAGUCCUGGCCGUAAACGAUGCAUACUAGGUGAUGGCACGGCCAUGAGCCGUGUCAGUGCCGUAGGGAAACCGUUAAGUGUGCCGCCUGGGAAGUACGGUCGCAAGGCUAAAACUUAAAGGAAUUGGCGGGGAAGCACCACAAGGGGUGAAGCCUGCGGUUCA